CCUGGGGCCUAGAGAGGAGCACCGGAGGGAAUGGUCAGUCGGGGAACGUGACCGAGCCCCGUAGUGUCGCCGGAGGCGUGAGGGGUCAGACCAGACUUUCAGCAGACUCGAGGCGGGGACCCUGGGACUAGCAAGUUACCCACCCAGCUGCCACCUUCCUGAGCGGGGAAUGGACCUUGUUCUCACCUGCGGGUUACGUUUGCUUUCCUCGUUGUGUGCGGCAGAGGUGAACCUGCUCAAAGCUUCACAGCUAGUUAGGAUCCGGGAAGACAAAGCCGCAGAGGCGUCCUCAAAACCGCGGGACAGCCGCGCUCUUCCUCAAACACUGCACUUUCCAGCUGUCUGGCAGCAGGCCAACGGCGGAGAGCGUAAGGAUUAGAAUAUUAACCAGAAGACCCUGGAAAUUCCACUAUUAACUUAAUGACUGGGGAACUUUUUCAGAAAAGGAAGAUUUUUAGAGCAGUGAUUGUUCACUCUCGGGAGAAGGAGCUCCUGGGACCAAUCCCCCUGCAGACACCAGAUGUUGACAGUGCAAUGGUUAGGGAAAGAAGUGUCCCCUGCGUUGGACAUUUAAGAAAGUCAUUAAUUCCCAGCCAAUACACUUACUUCCCCAAGGACAGGGUCUCACUACAUAGUUCAGGCUGGCCUUGAACUCACUAUGUAGCCCAGGCUGGCCUCGAACUCACAGUGAUCCUCGUGCCUCAGCCUCCCGAGUGCUGGGAUUACAGACGUGAGAUAGCACACCUGCCUGACAUGAUUUAAUUUGAAGAGGUAAAAUGGACAAAAGGUAAAGACUGAUUGCAUUAUAAGAGUAUAAGGAUGAUCCCCUGAUUUACUGUUUAUGAGAGGGCAUGUUGGAG
This 860-nucleotide long non-coding RNA is filed under the name Heterocephalus glaber (naked mole-rat). RNAcentral describes it as "lncRNA (ENSHGLG00100045918.1)". Lineage: Eukaryota; Metazoa; Chordata; Mammalia; Rodentia; Bathyergidae. The record is from RNAcentral.